RNAcentral lists this ribosomal RNA (49 nucleotides) under Colletotrichum fructicola. Its description in RNAcentral is "partial 28S ribosomal RNA". The record is from RNAcentral. Lineage: Eukaryota; Fungi; Ascomycota; Sordariomycetes; Glomerellales; Glomerellaceae.
UCAGGUAGGAAUACCCGCUGAACUUAAGCAUAUCAAUAGGCCGGAGGAA